AAGUCGUAACAAGGUUUCCGUAGGUGAACCUGCGGAAGGAUCAUUAACAAAUUCAAAACACUGACGUCCCACGCAUGGUCUUUUGGCCGUGCGUGGUGUCUAACAUACACACCUUGAUUGACAACACCUAGUGAUAUCUAGUUAAAUUGUAGACAACUUUUAACAAUGGAUCUCUUGGCUCUU
Molecule: unclassified non-coding RNA, 183 nt
Filed under: fungal sp.
Lineage: Eukaryota; Fungi
Description: partial internal transcribed spacer region
Rfam family: Eukaryotic small subunit ribosomal RNA (bases 1-46)
Source: RNAcentral